GGAAGGUUGGCAGAGCGGUAAUGCAGCACCUUGGAAAGGUGUCGUCGGCAACGGCGCGGGGGUUCGAUUCCCUCACCUUCCGCCA
This 85-nucleotide transfer RNA is filed under the name Gammaproteobacteria bacterium. Its description in RNAcentral is "tRNA-Ser". It matches the Rfam family "tRNA". From Rfam's summary of the family: Transfer RNA (tRNA) molecules are approximately 80 nucleotides in length. The record is from RNAcentral. RNAcentral also lists the same sequence under 1 other name. Lineage: Bacteria; Pseudomonadati; Pseudomonadota; Gammaproteobacteria.